UCAGGCUAUAAAUACGCCUUCAAAAUGUAGUUCGAGAUAUAAGAUACAGUUUGAUGUAGACUAAGUGAUUGUCAGAAUGUUGGCCAAUGUAACAAAAGUAUUGGAGGUUAUACUGAAGACUUUUGGAGAACAUGUCUCGGAUAUCAAAGAUAACCAAGCGGUCAUUGUUUCUGGUGGACAUUUUGAGGUCAUUUUGGACAAUCUACGUCUUCCCCGUGCAUUGACAGUGUAUGGAGGAGUUUCUCAAGUGGAAAAAUACAUGGCUAGAUUAGGUGAUAAUAUUAAACGUAUUACCUGAAGACAUAAGAGAGGGGUUUGGAAGAGUACGAGAUCUAUUAGCAGGAAGAUAUUCUACAGUCUCAAGUCUACAAUCUGCCUGAUGUGUAUUUAACUAGCUCAGUGCACGUUGCUAAUGCCACCGUUUCCAUCGUACGUACAUUAAUCUAUCCUAGACUGUAGAUUGAAUCACAGUUAGCGAGAUGUAACUCUAGUUCAGUCAGUAAAUUAAAUGACACAGUCUGGUAGGCAUGUCUUGAACCAACCAAAGACAAAGUAAGUGAAAAGAAACAUUCAAAUAAACAGAAGCCUUUGUAACAAUCGGUCAGAAGAUAGGCUAAUUUGUAAAACCGUAAAGUUUUCUUGUAUUUUGAUUAGUAACAUUUUGAAAUGAUACAGUAGUAAUAAUGAUAAACGUUGUUUGCUCCACAGUGAAAUGGCACAUUCUGUCUGUUUCAAUAUACAUAAUGCAUGGUAUUUGUUGUCUCUAACACAAUACACUAAAUGAUGCUUGUUUGUCUGUUCCAUAAGAUAAUAAAUGACAUACGUUGAUUUUCCACAGUAAAAUAUGUAUUUGUUGUUUAUUUCGCAGAUCGAUAACAGUUAUUUAUUGUCUGUUCCAAUACGUAAUAUGUGGUAUUUGUGGUCUGUUUUACAAGAUAAUCAAUGACAUUUUUGGCCUAUUUCAUAAUAUCCCAAAUUUACUUGUUGUCCGUUUCAAAAUGCAUUAAAUUAUAUUUAUUAUCUGUUCUACAAUAAAGUCUAACACGUCCUAUGAACAAAUAUUUUUUCUUUACAG
This is a long non-coding RNA of Limulus polyphemus (Atlantic horseshoe crab), 1075 nucleotides long. RefSeq lists it as uncharacterized. The record is from RefSeq and is a predicted model, not a curated record. NCBI's taxonomy places the organism in Eukaryota, Metazoa, Arthropoda, Merostomata, Xiphosura, Limulidae. The transcript is spliced from 3 exons.